Molecule: long non-coding RNA, 4129 nt
Organism: Vespula vulgaris
Lineage: Eukaryota; Metazoa; Arthropoda; Insecta; Hymenoptera; Vespidae
Exons: 6
Source: RefSeq, a predicted model, not a curated record
GACGUCAACAAAAUCAAACCUUUGAUUGACUUCCACUGUUAUUGGAUCAGUCUUCUUUCAUCCUCCGACAAGUGAACAUCGAAGCUCUCUCCUUCUAACUAUGUCAACUUUAAAAUUUGCACUUUUGGUUAAAUUUUAAACUGGCGGUCGUUGCUACAUGUGACGUCAUGGAAAUCAAACCUUUGAUUGACUUCCACUGUUAUUGGAUCAGUCUUCCUUCAUCCUCCGACAAGUAAACAUCGAAGUUCUCUCCUUCUAACUGUGUCAACUUUAAAAUUUACACUUUUGGUUAAAUUUUAAACUGGCGGUCGUUGGCUACAUGUAACGUCAUCAAAAUCAAAUCCUUGAUUGACUUUCAUUGUUACUGGAUCACUUUUCCUUCAUUCUCCGACGAGUAAACAUCGAUGGUCCUUGAGGAUAUCUUUCUUACAAGUAUCAACAAAGAAAUAAAGUAAGUAUAUUUCUAUAUCACAUAUUUCUUGAAUAAUUUAUACAGUUUUUAUUAUAACAGUGAUACUGAUUGUUUUGUUUGUAUUUUUUUGUGCGCUGAAUACAAAAAACUAAUAUUUAAACAAUAAUAAAUUUGUUUAACAUUACAAAGAUCGUAGCACGAGAGAAACUUAAAAUAAUUGUAAUUAAAAAUCUUAAUAUUUCAAAGUUCUAACCUCGGAAUCAUCGGCCUUGUAUAAUAUAAACAUAUACGACUUUUAUUUACUUUGUCUUUUGUCGAGUUAGUUUCCUUUUGUACGCCGACGAGUGAGUAUCGCGGAUCUCUUUCCGAACGCGAAAUGUUAGAAAUUAAUACUUUCGAUAAUUUCGCAAUUAUUUAAACAAUUGUUAAUGUACGCUAAAUAAAAAAAACUAAUAUUUAAACAAUAAUAAAUUUGUUUAACAUUACAAAGAUCGUAACGCGAGAGAAACUUAAAAUAAUUGUAAUUAUAAAUCUUAAUAUUUAAAAUUUCUAACCUCGGAAUCGUCGGCCGUGUGUGAUAUAACAUAUACGUCUUUUGUUUACUUUGACUUUUGUCGAGUUAGUCUCCUUUCGUACUCCGAGGAGGGAGGAUCGCAGCUCUCUCUUUCCGAACGCGAAAUCUUAGAAAUUAAUACUUUCGAUAAUUUCACAAUUAUUUAAACAAUUGUUAAUGUGUGCGGAAUACAAAAAACAAAUAUUUAAACAAUAAUAAAUUUGUUAAACAUUACAAAGAUCGUAACGCGAGAGAAACUUAAAAUAAUUGUAAUUAAAAGUUUUAAUAUUUAAAAGUUCUAACCUCGGAAUCAUCGGCCUUGUGUAAUAUAAACAUAUACGACUUUUAUUUACUUUGUCUUUUGUCGAGUUAGUUUCCUUUUGUACGCCGACAAGAGCACAUCGCAGAUUUCGCAGUUCGCAUUCUCCGCAAGUAAUAACGAAUUAAGUAUAUUAUUAUAUCACUCAUUCUUUCAAUAUUCUAUGCGAAUUGUUUCAUUUUAGAAUUAAAUGGUGAAGUGGGGAUACUCUCCCACCCAUAGCGACAAUAUAAUCGGACCGGUUCACAGGUUAUGGUUCAGUAUUGCUUUGAUUUUCGACGAGUACACAUUGGAGUUCUCGUAGUACGUGUCCUUUGCAAGUAAUAGAGAAGAGUUAAUAAUUAAAUGGUGAAGUGGGGAUACUCUCCCACCCGUAGCGACAAUAUAAUCGGACCGGUUCACAGGUUAUAGUUCAGUAUUGCUUUGAAUUUCGACGAGUACACAUCGGAAUUCUCGUAGAUGAAAUGGUGUGGUGGGGAUACUUUCCCACCCGUGACGACACAAACUCGGACCUUCAGUCGACUUUGCCAGUUACUAGUUCAGUUUCGUUGUGUCUUCCGACGAGUGAACUUAGAAAUUUUCUCACUUUCGGAGGAAGACUUUGAUAAUCUAUCUGCACGAGUGGACUUAGAAAUUUUCGGAGGAUGUCAAUGGAGCGAGUAUUAACGAAGACUUAAAAACCACAUUGUGCAGAUGUAAUCGAGUGUUAGUAUCACUAAAAUAAAUUUAUCGCGAAGUAGAAGCAGUGUUUGUUCGUUCGCGUUUCGCGAUUUAAACCAUAAGUGUUUUUGAAUAGACUGCGUGCAAUGCAGUCCUUAGAGUCAGUGUUUGUUCGUAAAGUUAUUUGCUCUUUUAACAGUCGCACAGACUGUACUUAUAAAAGAUAGUAGAGUUUCGCGAAAUAAAUUCAGUGAUCGUUCGUUAAUAAAUAACUACCGCGAAUUAGAGUCAGUGCAUCACUGAAGAGGAUCUCGACCAACUUCGAUGUCGACCUACCUCAUUUUCAACCAACUACAAAUCAUCCACCCUCAAUUUCGACCUAAAUCGCGGUCCAGUGUUUUGGAGCCAUCGCAGAACUUCUUAAGUAGUAAGUUAAUUUUUAAAUCCCUCCGAUCACUCGAUCAUGUCGAGGACGAAAGGUCCGAAUCGGCACGAGUGAUUGGUUGUAAUUAAUUAGUAGAAGAGCAUUGAGUGACCUCGAGUAAAUUUCCGAAGAAAUUCUACGGAAAUUUACUCGUGAAUAGUUCGUUAUUUUUUUGAUUUAUUUAUUAGAUCAGGAUAGAGUCUUCUUGUUUAAACGCGAUAAUUAUAAUUAUUUGAAAUGUUGUAUAUUUAAAUGCAUUUUUAAAUAAUUUUCUCUUGCGAAAAUAGUAAAGAAUCGCGAUCUUCGCGAAUUUUAAUAAUGAAUAAGCAAGAAGACAUUCGCGAUGGAUAGUCUCUGGAUUACAAGCGAAAUUGUAUAAUUUCUUUUCUAAUAAUUAGAAUAAUCGCUUGUAAGAAGGAGUGUCCAAUGAUUUUUCAUUAGAUUUUUAUAUUAAGAUUAAUCAAUUUUAUUAAUAAAAGAAAAAUCUCAAUAGAAUCAUUGCUUUUGAAAGAAUAAAGUAGAGUAGAGUCAUUGAUAAAAGACAAAGAGACUUGUAGAAUCUCGUGUAGAACAUAGAAUAAGUUAAUCAAUUUUUAGAUUAGGAUUUUCAGCAAUUAAUAUAUUAAUUCUCGUUUUUCUUUCUACGCUUUCUUCAUUUUUCGUUUCAGGAUUGAUUUAGAGUUGCGUUAGAUUUAUUAGUUUCCUUCCACGUUUUAGAAUAAAAGAUGGUUUUAGUUUCUUGAUAUUGACGUUAGUUCGAAAGUUCGACAGAACCCUUCGAAAAUGGCUCUUAAUUAUAUUUUAAUUUUACUAUGUGGUCACUCAUAAUGCUCUUAUGUAAUAAUAAUUUUAAUUUUAGAAACUCGGACGAAGUAACGCUUCAUCUCCGAUGCCACAUUGUCACGCGUACGGGAAUGAAAUUAUUACAUAUUUUAUUCAUUUUUAUUAUUAAAGCAAAGUAAUAAAUUUUUCAUAUUUUUCUUUUUUAAAGUUCAAUUAAAAUCGUAAUUUUAUUAUAAUAAAAUCAAGUACUAUAUCGAAAUAAUAGCUGCGAAACGUAUAAGAUAUGACAAUUGUGGAAACCACUGAAAGUGCACAUGGAGAUGAAACGAACAUACCGAAAUGUGUAUCAAGUACUGUCUGCAUUUCGUUACUGGAAGAGAAUAUUCGUUUAGAGUAGAAUCGAAGAUUUUACAUUUUCAUUUUCUUUUAUAAAUUUAAAUUGAAUUAAAUUCAGAAUUUUAUUUUUCAUAAGUAAUAUACACACAUUAAUAUACAUAAUUACAUAAAUACGUCAUUACAACUUACAUACACUAGUUUCUUUCCUCAUUUCUUUUCUUCUCUAUGAAAUCAAGUUAUUGAAUUACUCUACAUUUUUAUUAUAUAUACUUCUAUUUAUUCAAACACAUAUCUGUAUAAUGAUUGAAACAAUUAUUCGAGAUUAAUUAUUUUAACUUCUCUCGGGUGGGACCCUUGGGAGGGGCCCUCGGGUGUGGGCCUUAGGCGGGUUUCGUUCUCUCGCUAGGAAUAAAAUUAGACUCAUUUAUGGUACUCUGAUUUUUGUCUAGUGAAAUGGUCUUCGAAAUACUUAUUCAUUAUUCCGAAUUCUAUCUUUCUCUCAGACUUGUUCCGUGUUUCUUUUCUUCGUUUUUCCUUUUCUUUUGGUUUCCUCUUCUCUUUCGUUUCUUUUUCCUUUUCUCUUAUUCUUUUACUUUUUUUCUAUUUCAAGUUAGAUCAUUGAAGGACCGAUUAUCAUGAAAU